GGAGAGAUGGCUCAGUGGUUAAGAGCACUGACUGUUCUUCCAGAUGAUCUGGGUUCAAUUCCCAGCACCC
Cricetulus griseus (Chinese hamster) is the source of this 70-nucleotide non-coding RNA. The record is from Rfam. NCBI's taxonomy places the organism in Eukaryota, Metazoa, Chordata, Mammalia, Rodentia, Cricetidae.